UGCGCAGGCGGAACGGUAAGUCAGUGGUGAAAGCCUACAGCUCAACUGUAGAAUUGCCAUUGAUACUGUCGUUCUUGAGUAUAGUUGGAGUGUGCGGAAUGCAUCAUGUAGCGGUGAAAUGCAUAGAUAUGAUACAGAACACCAAUCGCGAAGGCAGCUCACUAAACUAUAACUGACGCUCAGGCACGAAAGCGUGGGGAUCAAACAGGAUUAGAUACCCUGGUAGUCC
Molecule: ribosomal RNA, 229 nt
Filed under: uncultured bacterium
Lineage: Bacteria
Description: partial 16S ribosomal RNA
Rfam family: Bacterial small subunit ribosomal RNA
Source: RNAcentral